AGGGAACGAAGGCUAGGGUAGCGAACCGGAUUAGAUACCCGGGUAGUCCUAGCUGUAAACAUUGCCCAUUUGAUGUUGCUUUUCCGUUGAGGGAAGGCAGUGUCGGAGCGAAGGUGUUAAAUGGGCCGCUUGGGAAGUAUGGUCGCAAGACUGAAACUUAAAGGAAUUGGCGGGGGAGCACCGCAACGGGAGGAAUGUGCGGUUUAAUUGGAUUCAACGCCGGAAAACUCACCGGGAACGACCUGUGCAUGAGAGUCAACCUGACGAGCUUACUCGAUAGCAGGAGAGGUGGUGCAUGGCCGUCGUCAGCUCGUACCGUAGGGCGUUCACUUAAGUGUGAUAACGAGCGAGACCCACAUCUUUAAUUGCAAAUGUAUAUGAGAAUAUGCAUGCACUUUAGGGAAACCGCCAGCGCUAAGCUGGAGGAAGGAGUGGUCGACGGCAGGUCAGUACGCCCCGAAUUUCCCGGGCUACACGCGCAUUACAAAGAACGGGACAAUACGUUGCAACCUCGAAAGAGGAAGCUAAUCGCGAAACCCGUCCAUAGUUAGGAUUGAGGGCUGUAACUCGCCCUCAUGAAUCUGGAUUCCGUAGUAAUCGCGGGUCACAAC
Molecule: ribosomal RNA, 611 nt
Filed under: uncultured bacterium
Lineage: Bacteria
Description: bacterial SSU rRNA
Rfam family: Archaeal small subunit ribosomal RNA
Source: RNAcentral